CAGUCGCCGCGGUAAUACGGAGGGAGCUAGCGUUGUUCGGAAUUACUGGGCGUAAAGCGCACGUAGGCGGCUUUGUAAGUCAGAGGUGAAAGCCUGGAGCUCAACUCCAGAACUGCCUUUGAGACUGCAUCGCUCGAAUCCGGGAGAGGUGAGUGGAAUUCCGAGUGUAGAGGUGAAAUUCGUAGAUAUUCGGAAGAACACCAGUGGCGAAGGCGGCUCACUGGACCGGUAUUGACGCUGAGGUGCGAAAGCGUGGGGAGCAAACAGGAUUAGAGACCCCAGUAGUCCCUGUCUCUUAUAC
Molecule: ribosomal RNA, 301 nt
Filed under: uncultured bacterium
Lineage: Bacteria
Description: partial 16S ribosomal RNA
Rfam family: Bacterial small subunit ribosomal RNA
Source: RNAcentral